AAUGGAUUUACGAAAAAUGACUUUUYUAAAUUCAAUAAUUGAAUUUAUUUUUAUUUGUGAGGAAACAAUAAUAAAUAUUAAGGACAAGAAGACCCUAAGAAUUUUAAAAGAAUUAAUAUUUGAAUCAAAAUUUAUAUCUUUUUAAUUGGGGCGAUUAAGAAAUAUUAAUAACUUUCUUUACUAUAACAAAAUGAACCGUUAAUAGCGGUAAUAUGAUAAAAAUACUCUAGGGAUAACAGCGUAAUAAUUUUUGAUAGUUCAUAUAGACAAAAUAGUUUGCGACCUCGAUGUUGGAUUAGGAUA
Molecule: ribosomal RNA, 303 nt
Filed under: Amblyomma longirostre
Lineage: Eukaryota; Metazoa; Arthropoda; Arachnida; Ixodida; Ixodidae
Description: partial 16S ribosomal RNA
Source: RNAcentral